GUGGGUAUAGUUCAGUCGGUUAGAGCGCCAGAUUGUGAUUCUGGAAAUCGUGGGUUCGAGUCCCACUAUCCACCCCA
RNAcentral lists this transfer RNA (77 nucleotides) under Acetobacterium paludosum. Its description in RNAcentral is "tRNA-His". It matches the Rfam family "tRNA". From Rfam's summary of the family: Transfer RNA (tRNA) molecules are approximately 80 nucleotides in length. Their secondary structure includes four short double-helical elements and three loops (D, anti-codon, and T loops). RNAcentral also lists the same sequence under 1 other name. The record is from RNAcentral. Lineage: Bacteria; Bacillati; Bacillota; Clostridia; Eubacteriales; Eubacteriaceae.